AUGAAGAUGGAAGAUGACCAAGGGAAGAUGAGGAUGAAAAAGCUUAUACAAGAACUAAGAAAAUGCAUUGAAAAGGGAUGGACGCAUUGACCGUGCUGAAAGUGUCUGCAAGAAGCUGGUGGGUCGCUUCUCUCACAGCUGUAAGGCCAGAAGUGCUCUUGAAACAGCACAGAAUGAACUCAAUCUACCUUCACAUUCCCUCAUAUCAGAAUGCCAAACAAGAUGGGGUUCCAGCCAGAAGAUGAUCAGCAGGAUACUAGAGCAGCAGAAGGCUAUAACUCAGGUCCUGUCUGUCACAGCAUCAAAUUCUAACCUGGCAAGAUAUGGAUGUCCUGGAAUCUGUCAGUAAGUCACUGGGCCCACUGCUGGACUUUACAGAUGCAGUCUCAGGAGAAGACUAUGUUAGUGUCUCAUAUGUGAACCCAGUUCUUCACCUCUUCAACACUUCAAUGCUGCUAAUAUAAGAGGGACACAGACUUGACCAAGACCUUGAAAGCUGAGAUGUUGCACUACAUCAAUGAGAAAUAUAGAGAUGAAGCUACUCAGGAGCUGCUAGAUGCGGCUUCUUGUUUGGACCCCCGGUUCAAGAUGGACUUCAUCAGUGAAGA
Esox lucius (northern pike) is the source of this 608-nucleotide long non-coding RNA. RefSeq lists it as uncharacterized. NCBI's taxonomy places the organism in Eukaryota, Metazoa, Chordata, Actinopteri, Esociformes, Esocidae. The transcript is spliced from 2 exons. The record is from RefSeq and is a predicted model, not a curated record.